ACCUCCUGCCCAGCUCGGGGGCGCUGCAGCUCCCCAGGGUGGGGCCUGGGGCUGAGCCGGCCUGAAACUUCUCUGUCGGCCCAGCCUGGUGCUGAGCCCGCUUGUCUCGGCUUCCCCCCGCCUCGGGCGUCGGUCCUGGCCUUGUCUCCCAGGCCAAGAGCUGGAGGGGCACUUUGUGUCAUUCGGGGGAUGAAAUAACAAGCCCCCGCUUCCCUCAGACUAAACACUAGUACAGCUGAGUGCCAAUACAAUAUUGCGCGUGUCCAGUUACUUUAUGACUGACAGCAGUGGACUGAAUGAAAGAAAAUGAGACUCUGUCACGUGGCUGCAACCUUACAAUAGCUGGCCAGCAAGAGAAGUGUACUGGAUACCUUGUUGAAGGACCAUCACAAGGAGCCAUCCAUACUGAAA
RNAcentral lists this long non-coding RNA (411 nucleotides) under Crocodylus porosus (Australian saltwater crocodile). RNAcentral describes it as "lncRNA (ENSCPRG00005011104.1)". The record is from RNAcentral. Lineage: Eukaryota; Metazoa; Chordata; Crocodylia; Crocodylidae.